CGGGAAACUGAGUAUAAUGCCCGAUAGAACACUAUACCUGGAAUGGUUUGUGUUCCAAAUGAAUGUCGCCGUAGGAUGGGACUGCGGCCUAUCAGUUUGUUGGUGAGGUAAUGGCCCACCAAGACUAUUACAGGUACGGGCUCUGAGAGGAGUAGCCCGGAGAUGGGUACUGAGACACGGACCCAGGCCCUAUGGGGCGCAGCAGGCGAGAAAACUUUGCAAUGUGCGAAAGCACGACAAGGUUAAUCCGAGUGGUUUGUGCUAAACGAACCUUUUGACAGUCCUAGAAACACUGUUGAAUAAGGGGUGGGCAAGUUCUGGUGUCAGCCGCCGCGGUAAAACCAGCACCUCAAGUGGUCAGGAUGAUUAUUGGGCCUAAAGCAUCCGUAGCCGGCUCUGUAAGUUUUCGGUUAAAUCUGUACGCUCAACGUACAGGCUGCCGGGAAUACUGCAGAGCUAGGGAGUGGGAGAGGUAGACGGUACUCGGUAGGAAGGGGUAAAAUCCUUUGAUCUAUUGAUGACCACCUGUGGCGAAGGCGGUCUACCAGAACACGUCCGACGGUGAGGGAUGAAAGCUGGGGGAGCAAACCGGAUUAGAUACCCGGGUAGUCCCAGCUGUAAACUAUGCAAACUCAGUGAUGCAUUGGCUUGUGGCCAAUGCAGUGCUGCAGGGAAGCCGUUAAGUUUGCCGCCUGGGAAGUACGUACGCAAGUAUGAAACUUAAAGGAAUUGGCGGGGGAGCACCACAAGGGGUGAAGCCUGCGGUUC
RNAcentral lists this ribosomal RNA (768 nucleotides) under uncultured bacterium. RNAcentral's name for it is "bacterial SSU rRNA". It matches the Rfam family "Archaeal small subunit ribosomal RNA", at positions 133 to 903 of the family's 1478-position model. The record is from RNAcentral.